Long non-coding RNA from Mustela erminea (ermine), 99 nucleotides. RefSeq lists it as uncharacterized. The record is from RefSeq and is a predicted model, not a curated record. NCBI's taxonomy places the organism in Eukaryota, Metazoa, Chordata, Mammalia, Carnivora, Mustelidae. The transcript is spliced from 3 exons.
AUAUGAUGACCAGGUUGUCAACAGAUGGUCUCAGACACAGGGACAGUGCCUCCGAGAUGCCUUCCCAGGCCCCCCCACAAGACAGGACCGAAGAAGAAA